GACCACGGAUGAAUGAAAUAAUGAGCUGACAGUAAUAGAAGAAUCUUGGGAUUGAACAAAAUCCAGAAGCAUAAUAAAAUACUGAUGCCUGAGCCAAUAUGUUUGUAUUCCCUAUCUACCUCAUUUUUAUGAUGACAUACAUAAGAGCUCAAAAACCAGAUCAGAGAAAUUUAUUCAAUAAUGGAGGCUGGAUACCAAGAACAGAUCUUGCGAGUAAUAUUAACUCAAAAAAUCUUAAGCAGACAUCCAAUAAUACGGACAAAGCAUUUGUUCCGUUGGAUAUACAUGAAAUUAAUGAAAAUAUUGAUUCCUUUACAGAUUUUGGUAAGGAUCAAAAGAACGAUAAAGUUGUCAUUCAAUCAAGAUCUCUCUACAGCAGGGUAAACAUUGAUGGAGGAGGAGUUUCCAGUUCCAAAGAUACACUAAUGAGGAGAAACUCAUUUGAGACCCAAAGCACUAACAUACCUUUGAUUGAAACUUUCAGGGAAAAAUUUCAAGAGCAAGAAAUAAGAGCUAGAAAAACUGAUACCAAUGAAUCCGAAAAAAGUGAAAUUAAAUUUUUGAUUGGUGCCAAAAAGGGACAUGAAUCAUCCACAGAAAAGCAUCAGAUGGCUGAAAAAGAUGCAACUGUAGUCCGAUAUAUUGAUGAAAAAGCAGAAAAGAAGAAACAGAGCUUAUCUUCAGCACAAAAGUCAAGAGACGCAGGAUCAAAUAAUUUUACAAAAGCAUCUGCAUUAAAUAAGAUCUCAGAUCAAUUAAACUUGACAACCAACUCCACUAAUAUUGCGGCCAAAAACUCCUCGACUGAAAAAGUGACGAAAAAUGAUAUCAAGCCACAGCAACCUGUGUUGUCUGGCGGAAAACUCUCUCAGCCUUCAUUAAAACAAAUAAGCCACUUAAAAAUGAUACAUCAAUGGUGUCUAGAUUUCGAAAACAAGUGCUAAACUGGCAGAGUCGAGGUCCUCCACGUUUUAGCAGUGUCGAUGCUUCACAUAGAAUUCCACCGACUCACAGCUACUCAACUCUUGCUCUUCAAGCACCAGAGCCAUUCUCACAAAAAAGGACCGAUUUUUUUUCACAAAGACCAUUAAAAUUAGCUCAGCCGUACCCUGCACAAAGUUUUAAACCCGGAACACCUGAAUAUUUGCCUGAUCGAGACUUUGGUCUUUUCGAUCGGCAAGACCAAGCAGGUCAGUUUUAUCCUCAAGGAUACCUUGCUCAGCCACUACCAAACAACAGUUCAUAUUAUAACACGCCAGUUGUGAACUACUAUUAUCCAUCUGUAAGUUAUCAGCCAACUAGAGCGCCACAAGUUGAACUAACGACACAAGCGUAUCCACCACUGGGUGUACCAUCACAAACCUACCAGGUUCCAGGCUAUCAAUAUGGUCCACCUGACCAGAGCUACGGCACCCCAGAGCUCCCAGAACUCCAGCCAAUUCAAGAAGCAAAGCCAUAUCGACCGCAAGGAUACUUUAGGAUCAUUCUAAAUGAUGAUAGGUGUGUGAUGAGUCGCCAGGUUGGAGCCGAGGCACUCAUCGAUGUUUCACUGUUGUUUAGGAGUCAAAAAAGCCAGCUGAAAAAUUGUGCCCUAAUGUUCUCAUCAACACUUAAUAUUGCUUUAUCAAGUAUGAUCCAGUCGGAUGACAACAUUACAACGGUUGAUUUGGCGCGUCAGCUAAAUCUACGACUGUUUACCGUCCUACCCGCUGGCCACAUCUCAGAAAUUAAGUCCCCAUGGUACAUGGAUGACACGUCACCCGGCCUGACAUUUGCAGACACAGGGACCAUAAUCAUCACGUUUCAGCCUAGCACACCUCUUAAUUUUCGACUUCUCAUAUUUUCCUACAGAGACACAAUUCCUCGCGUUCCAGGAAUUGCUACUUCCGUCCUUGUUGCCAAUGCAACUGCGCCCCUCAGUGAGACCACUCUCGUAGAAAUCCCAGAGUCAACUACUCAGAAACAGGAUGGACUAUUACCUACCACUGAGAAACAGAAUGAAUUAUUACCUACCACUGAGAAACAGGAUGAAUUAUUACCUACCACUGAGAAACAGGAUGAAUUAUUACCUACCACUGAGAAACAAAACACAACAUCAUCCACCACUGAAAAACCAGACGCAAUGGUAUCUUCCACACCAGAACCAGAGUUUCUUGAAAUGUUAUAG
RNAcentral lists this long non-coding RNA (2167 nucleotides) under Bemisia tabaci. RNAcentral's name for it is "lncRNA ENSSSA1UGG009821". The record is from RNAcentral. Lineage: Eukaryota; Metazoa; Arthropoda; Insecta; Hemiptera; Aleyrodidae.